AUUGAACGCUGGCGGAAUGCUUUACACAUGCAAGUCGAACGGCAGCACGGACUUCGGUCUGGUGGCGAGUGGCGAACGGGUGAGUAAUGUAUCGGAACGUGCCCAGUCGUGGGGGAUAACGUAGUGAAAAUUACGCUAAUACCGCAAACGAUCUAUGGAUGAAAGCGGGGGAUCGCAAGACCUCGCGCGAUUGGAGCGGCCGAUAUCAGAUUAGGUAGUUGGUGGGGUAAAGGCCCACCAAGCCAACGAUCUGUAGCUGGUCUGAGGGGACGACCAGCCACACUGGAACUGAGACACGGUCCAGACUCCUACGGGAGGCAGCAGUGGGGAAUUUUGGACAAUGGGCGAAAGCCUGAUCCAGCCAUUCCGCGUGCAGGAUGAAGGCCCUCGGGUUGUAAACUGCUUUUGUACAGAACGAAAAGGUUUCUACUAAUACUAGGAGCUCAUGACGGUACUGUAAGAAUAAGCGCCGGCUAACUACGUGCCAGCAGCCGCCGUAA
This 500-nucleotide ribosomal RNA is filed under the name uncultured bacterium. RNAcentral's name for it is "partial 16S ribosomal RNA". It matches the Rfam family "Bacterial small subunit ribosomal RNA", at positions 30 to 523 of the family's 1533-position model. The record is from RNAcentral.